RNAcentral lists this small RNA (1076 nucleotides) under Pan troglodytes (chimpanzee). Its description in RNAcentral is "retained intron". The record is from RNAcentral. Lineage: Eukaryota; Metazoa; Chordata; Mammalia; Primates; Hominidae.
AGGAGGCCAUUCUCCAAUGUCUACGAGAUGCCAGCUGGCAUGCUGGCAUGUUAAGCCAGCCAGUGGCUCUGUUGGUACCCAGUGGUGUGGAUCUCACUACACUUCAUCGCCUCCUGGCCCUGGCAACCUCAGGCAGUUUCCCUGGCCAGUACACAGAAGCAGAUUUGGACCGCAUUGGAGAACACCUCCCCAGGGAGAACCUUGGUGUCAAACAGAACAUCAAGAAGGAAAUGGUGUUGCAGAGGUGAGGCCAAGAACCCCAUAUGCGAAUCUGCUCUGCUCUUACGCUGUCUUGGCCAAAAGGCCAAAAGGAAUUCUGUGGGCUGCCAUGAGGGCUGAGAAGAUUGGGGCUAAGUGGUCUGGCUGGGACUGGGGCCAGGAGGGGCAAGCAAAGGUAAAGGGGAGGACAUUAGCUGAGCCCUGGCCCACAGGUUCCACCAGCAAGUGUGCAGCCACCUUCACCUGUUCUUCCUGAUUGGAGAUAAACAGGCCCACAAGCAGCUGCCCUCCACCCUUUUCCUGAGGCUCCUUCAACUGGCCACUGCCAGCAUUGACCGCUAUGAACCCUGGGACCAAGCUGCCCUGGUCAAGGUGGCCCAGCAUCACCUGGAGGGUGCUCAGAGUGUACCCCUUGAUGACGGAUCCAGCAUGCCUUGGAGAAUCUGAGAAUGCUGACUAAGGAGCACGGUACCCAUGCCAAUCUGAUCUUUGACUUGGAACAGCAGCUGAAAGACUCCGGCAAGAGUCUCAGCAUGUUUCAGCAGCAGCUAGAGCAAAGCAAGCUCCUACACAAGCAGCAGCUGGAAGAGUGUCGGCAUCAAGAGAACCUCAUUGAGAACCUGGCCAGGCAACGGGAUGCCCUGCAAGCUCAGCAAGAGGCUUUCCUGGAGCAGGUGGGCUCUUCCUGCCGCCUGCCCUGCACUGCUCCUCUCUCGAAAGAGGGCAACCCCUCUAAGGAUACCAAGAGGAGAGGAUGGAGUGACUCAUGGAGGCUCCUGGGGGGAGGGGACAAAGGUAAUAGGAUGGCUUGGGGAGUGGCCUCUCAUGGGGACUCCAAGGAGAUGAUUCCCCUAAAA